This is a long non-coding RNA of Zophobas morio, 2621 nucleotides long. RefSeq lists it as uncharacterized. The record is from RefSeq and is a predicted model, not a curated record. NCBI's taxonomy places the organism in Eukaryota, Metazoa, Arthropoda, Insecta, Coleoptera, Tenebrionidae. The transcript is spliced from 6 exons.
ACCAUGGCUAAAAUAUAUAUGGUUUGCUAUUCCGAACGACGAAAUCUCGUCCUGUUGGCGUCGAUACCGCAUGACGUCACGUAACCUUGCAAACACCCGUUUUCUGACAGAUCUGUGAUGCUUGUCAAGUUAAUCUGUCAUGUGAGUUAGGUUAAAAUGUGUUGCCAUUUGUGUUGCAAACAACAAUUUCCUCACUUUUCAUUAUAUUUUAUGAUGCCUUACGAUGAAAAUGUUAAUUAAUCAUGUACAUGUGAAAUUAUUUUAUUUAUUGAGUACGUGCCGAACGGGAAUACGAUACAAUAUAUUCACGUUCACAUGUGAAGUGCGGAAGUUGUUCCUGCUUUAUUUGUAAAAUACGCGUACAGUUUAUUAAAAGAUAAGUUGAAAUAAUUGUGAGUCGUUCAUGAUACUCCUUUCCACACCACAUACGAGGUAGAGUAACGGCGCGUUUUUUUUUUUUGUUUAUAGUGGUAUCCCCAGGAGGCCUAAUCCACUAUGAAAGCUCAACAUAAUACUACAUUACUGUAUGCGAUAAAACAAUUGGGAACUGUACUUGUAUACUGCUCCAAUAAAUUCGACAAGUCAACAGCUCUGGAGCAUAAGUGUAAAUUAAUGAUUUCCAUUGCACCAAAAAUUCAUGAGUUGUAAUGAGAAAUAUUACAUCAUCAACCCAGAAGUUGAAGUGUAUGGAUAACCAUGGCUUUAAAAAAACACUAGAAAACUUUCAAAGAUACUAAUAUAAAUGGGAACAAGAAAUAAAAUUCAAACAAGUGACAUAUCAACAAAUAGUAGUUCAUGACCAAUAGUGAACAUCUCCAUGCAAGUCGUUGAAAAAUGAUUUUUUGUUCAUUUCUCUUAUCCGAAUGAAUGUCCUUGUUCGGACCAAGCACAGCAAGACUUCUUCUGGAAUUUGGAUACUAUUUGAAUAAUGUUUCCAGCAAUUUCGCUGUAUUUAACAAAUCUGAACAAGGCAUCAAUAGUUUCCCGUUUGAAAGAAAUUGAAUCCAGUCACAGUCGUCUUUACUUGUAUCAGUCAAGUUUUCUGUAGGGGUACCAAGACCUGGAUAUUUUAGUCGGAAGCGAUGAGCUACAGACCCAGCCACAUAUUUAUGUGCCGCUAAAGUUAGAUGACUGUCUGGUAAUUGAACUCUUACUUCACUGGAGUCAUCUAAAAUUUCUAACUUGGCUAUAUCACCUUCCUCGUUUUCAUUUGAUGGUGCAUUAUAAAUACACUGCGUAUUUAUAAUCGAUGAAAACAGAGAUUCCGUUAAACAUAUCUCUUCGUCAUCAUCAUCUGCUCGGGUGCAUCAAAGUUAUAAUACACGGGCUGCUUCCAAGAGGAAAAUAGACCCCGACACAUCAUGACCUGUACCGUCUUAUGAGGCCCAAACACUUGUUCCAGUGAUCUAUCAAGACAGAUUUCAUCUUUAAUGAACAUCUCAUCGAAUGACAGGACAGUUAAACGUUCCAUUUCUGAUAAAGUUUUCGCCUUCUCUUUCAUUAAAUAUAACACAGAGUGUAGAAGCCCAGUAUUAAUUAUGAAAGAUGACGCCCAUUUUCUUAGAGUACUCAAUCCUGGUAGGGGCCAGUGGCAUUGUGUUCUUAAAUACCUGUAUGCUUUAGGGCUAACGCUACGCAAUGAAAUGGCAGCAGAGAUAUCAUUAGUUGUCCACUUAACUCUUUUCCCAGUAAUGAGGGCUUUGAUUUGACUUUUUGUGAAAAUCUUAGAUACAGCCUCGCUCACUUUAGCAUCAUAAUUUUUUUGUUUAACCUGUUGUUUUAAUAAAGCAUUCUCAGCUUCAGUUGCUUUAUUUUUUUCUUGCAACUGAAGCAGUUGCCCUUCUACUUUUUUAUAUUUUUCUUCCCAAUUUUCAUCACACUCUACCAGAGGCCUGACAUCAUCCCCAAAUAUGUUUUUUCUACAGUGUUUAAUAAGCGUACUAUUUUUGCUUGGACUCUGUAGCUUUUUUGGGGAUGGUGUUUCCAAAAUAGUGCCUACCUGAGUAGAACCUUUUUUACUGGGUGUAGUGCUUACACUUGUCGGCCUACGUUCUGUUGGAAGGGCAUCAGACUUCAAUCUUCUCCUGUUCUUAGGGCUGUAUUCCAACAGUUUGUGUUGCAUUGACUUCGACAAACUUUCUGCAGCAAAAUGCACAGAGCAUAUACGCGCUGAAAAUAACACUGCUAGAGAUGUUGUCAUCAAGGUAUAUGUAUUGUUGCUACCAGUUUUGGCAUUUACUGUAUCUUGUCUAUUACAGAACGAUACCCAUUCUUGACAAAGGUUUUGAUCCUUCGGGAACCUAAAAAAGUGUACAUUCGCAUCCUCCUUUUUCCUUUGGCUGUUCGAGCAGCCAAACACUGCACAGUGCACCAUUUUUAUUGUUCACUGUUAACCUUAACACCAGGAUAUUACAACACGUUUACGUUUCUAAAUAAAGUCAGUUCUGUUUGUUCACAAUUUGAGUCAUCUGUAUUAGGCACAAUAGUAAAGUUGCACUUUGUAAUCCUUUCCUUGCACGUUGCCGGUUUCUGACUGUUUGAUUCAGAAUUUACUCAUGGUAUGUUAUUUGUGUAUUAAAACAAGGUAUAUGAUUAUUGGGUAAUAAAGAAUUAAAAAUUAA